UACGUAGGGUGCGAGCGUUGUCCGGAAUUACUGGGCGUAAAGAGCUCGUAGGUGGUUUGUCGCGUUGUUCGUGAAAACUCACAGCUCAACUGUGGGCGUGCGGGCGAUACGGGCAGACUGGAGUACUGCAGGGGAGACUGGAAUUCCUGGUGUAGCGGUGGAAUGCGCAGAUAUCAGGAGGAACACCGGUGGCGAAGGCGGUUCUCUGGGCCUUACCUGACGCUGAGGAGCGAAAGCAUGGGGAGCAAACAGG
RNAcentral lists this ribosomal RNA (253 nucleotides) under uncultured bacterium. RNAcentral's name for it is "partial 16S ribosomal RNA". It matches the Rfam family "Bacterial small subunit ribosomal RNA", at positions 524 to 776 of the family's 1533-position model. The record is from RNAcentral.